GCAGCAGCUCAUUUAUCUGCUCCUUCUCUCUCUGGACGCUGAGACCCAACCGACCCCACACCCAGGUGAAACAAAAGAGUAGCCAGGCGCACCCCACCCCCAGUGGGUAGCUCUUUGUUU
Molecule: long non-coding RNA, 120 nt
Organism: Corvus hawaiiensis (hawaiian crow)
Lineage: Eukaryota; Metazoa; Chordata; Aves; Passeriformes; Corvidae
Exons: 3
Source: RefSeq, a predicted model, not a curated record